RNAcentral lists this ribosomal RNA (434 nucleotides) under uncultured bacterium. RNAcentral describes it as "partial 16S ribosomal RNA". It matches the Rfam family "Bacterial small subunit ribosomal RNA", at positions 29 to 507 of the family's 1533-position model. The record is from RNAcentral.
AGCGAACGCUGGCGGCAGGCCUAACACAUGCAAGUCGAACGAACCUUUCGGGGUUAGUGGCGGACGGGUGAGUAACACGUGGGAACGUGCCUUUAGGUUCGGAAUAACUCAGGGAAACUUGUGCUAAUACCGAAUGUGCCCUUCGGGGGAAAGAUUUAUCGUCUUUAGAGCGGCCCGCGUCUGAUUAGCUAGUUGGUUGAGGUAAUGGCUCACCAAGGCGACAAUCAGUAGCUGGUCUGAGAGGAUGAUCAGCCACAUUGGGACUGAGACACGGCCCAAACUCCUACGGGAGGCAGCAGUGGGGAAUCUUGCGCAAUGGGCGAAAGCCUGACGCAGCCAUGCCGCGUGAAUGAUGAAGGUCUUAGGAUUGUAAAAUUCUUUCACCGGGGACGAUAAUGACGGUACCCGGAGAAGAAGCCCCGGCUAACUUCGUG